GAGAUAGCCAAUGUGUUAUCGCCAACGUGUUAUCGCCAAUCGCUUGGCUCGCCAACAAGAUUUAUGCAAUGGAAGAAAAAAGCAAGGAGGUACAUGUAGCCAACAUGUACUGUCACGGACCUUGCUUACUGUCUAGCACAACGCCGUUGUCAACGGUGCAAACUCGUUUUCAGUGCAACGAUAACUCUACCAGAUCUUACGAGAAUCAAUCUGUAGUAUUCUGUACACAGAACUGUAUCAAAGCUUGUCAAAACUGCUUUAAACACUGCAGCUAUAACUGUGAAACUAUUGAAAUCUAAAGUGACAUUAUUCAACACAUGCGAAAAGCUGAAAAUAGACACAAUGUGACCUUCGAAAAGUCAAAGGUCAAUGAGACUUGUUAUUGUGAAACAUGUCACAAUUAGGUUAAAAUGCGGAAGCGGAUGGAGCGGAUCCACGGAACGGAUAUGCGGAUAAAAUACGGAACGGAUGAAGAUAAAGUGCUUCCUUUCAAUGAUAUAACGACGUAGUGCUUAUUAUUCAUAACAUAUUUAUACAGCUAUUUCAAUUAUAGUUUUAGAUAAGUUUAGCAUAGCAGUAGCCUCGUGGGGAUGCUUUUAGCGACAGCUGCAAAUACAAAUGCAAAUGAAAUUUAGAAUAUGCAAAAUUUGGUUGUUGGUGAAACAAUUGAAAUUUAGCAUGCGUGUAGCAUCACAAUAAAUAGAUAAAUUGUGUCAGUUUCACAAGGCACGUUUCUGAUGUGUCAGGCUUGUUUCAAACGUCGUGCGCCGAGCGCAUGAGAUGAAAUGCAUUUGGUAAUUGUUUAUUUCGUAGUGUAAGCCAUCAGCUUUUCUAGGUUGUCGGCGAACCUAUAUAGUUCUUGCAGUGUCUUUUUCAAUUUGAAACUUCACACUAUCCUUGGAUCCCUAGUUUUUAAUCAAGUUUGCGUGACGAUUCGCAUGUUAUUGAAGACAUGACGUAAAUGUUAUAGACAGUGUGCGCAUUAUAUUUCCGGCCUCAUUGUUCUUCGUCACCACAAUAUUUUUAAUGAGUUUACUCUGAUCAAGUUGCACUUGAGUUGACUCGUGUCAUUUACUGCAGACGUCAAUAUCCACACUGAAAACCAAGAAAACGUAACGAGUCGAGUCGUUCACUCUAAAAUACUCUGGUUAAAAUUUUGCUGGUUAACGUACAGUAGACAUAACCCUAUAUUCAGGAAAUAUUCCUGGUUAAAUUUCCAGGGAUUUCGCUUCCCAGCUGAUGAAUGUAACCACAAAAUAUGUUAAAAUUGCUAUUAAUUUGUUAAGACAAAACUAAAUAUCCGGAAUGUCAUUAGGACCGUACGAAUAUGUAUGUUAAUUGCUAAAACUAUUAUAAUCUCAGGAUUGUCUUCACGAACAUAAUUAUUACGUUGACUGUUAUUGAACUAUACAAGGCAAUUGUAAAUCUCAGGAAUGUCAUUGUGAUCAUUUCCCGCAUUGGCUUGUCUUAAAGAAUACCACGCUUCAAGGAAUAACCUUUUGUUAUAAUCUGGUUCACGAUCAACAACUUUGGUGUUAUCAAAAUCCAUUCUGUGAAGGUGGGUGUUAACUGUUUGUGUGUUGCGCUAUUUUAGAAUAUUCAUCGUCUUUAGAAUAUUCAUCUUGCUUUCCUAGAAAACACGAACACUAUACAAGUCAGCGUUUAUAGGAAAUCCACACACAAACAAAUACUUGGAUUUUAAUUCCCACCAUCCCACCACUCAUAAACGUUCUGUCGUUAAUUCUUUACUUAAUCGAGCAGAUAUUAUUCCGACUUCUACCUCGGGAAAAAGAAAGGAACGUAAACAUGUUUCCAAGGUACUUAUGAACAAUGGCUACCCCAAACAGUUUUUAAAACAGUGUGACAAACAUCGCAGACUUAAGGAAAAACAAAGCCCCCUUGAUGCUGUCAAUUCCGCAGUCCCGCAAACAAAUUUUAUCACAUUACCAUAUAUUAAAGGCGUGUCGGAGCGGAUCUCUAGAACAUUAGAACGAGAAAACCUUGAAUCGUUUUAGCAACUGAUUUCAAAUAUAUAGUUUGCAUCACUGGAGUUUUUAGGAAUUUGAUUAAGCAUCUAGCAAAAUAAUAUAUACAUGUCAUUUACCGACUGGGAGAUCCGUACUGAAAACUAUUUUUUAAUUGUGCAUGCCCAUAGUGAUAUUCUUUUAUUUCCAUAUUUCAUUUUUAGCGACAAACCGAGGAGUGAAGACAUGCAGUUUUGAAACUCAAAAUACUAAUCACUGCCCAAAAAGUUGAAAGUCGAUAACAAAGAUAGUAAAAAUAUGGCACUGAAUUGACUUUAAUGGACUUAAUAGUGGCAAGCCCGAUAUGCAAUUUUCUUCGGUCGAAAUGCGAAAAAGAAAUACAUCGGAAAAAAACACUGGCCAUUGCUACAGUACAUGUUUUGAUUCAAAUGCUCCUCAUAUAUUCAACUAUUCUUUCGAAAAAUAUAUACGUAUAAAUAAUUGGGUGGGGGGUUGUAUAUUCAUGUAUUCAUAUUCACAUACCGUAAAAACAGAGGAGGUUGGACAGUAGGCCGCAAAGCAUCACGGGUAUUGAGCGCCUCAUUCCACGCGUGACUUCAUUGAUUGUUGACUGUCGAGGAGUGAACAUCUCUCUGACUAAAGCAAUAUGGAAGCUUUCGAACGACAAGAGUGUCAGGCUGUGAUACUUUGUGAAAAGAAACAGCAUGUUAUUGCUGUAUUGUUGCGAUCAUCAUUAUGACUUGUGUUUUGCUUUUUCAAGUUAACUUUUUUUAAAUUGCAUGGGACGUGCUGUCAUUUUAGCUUUAUAAAUAAUCCGUCUGAGAAGAGGAAUUGUGUUUAAUUUUAUAUUCCCAAUAGCGAGGCUCUUCUUUCUAAGUGGGAUGGCGUUAAAUCUCCGUGUAUCAUCAACGUGAAAACAAGCGCAGUGUUUAAGGUUAAUUGGUAUACUACAAUAUACUACAAUGCAUUACAGUUAUCGUGAAUAUUUUAUAGUCAAAUUUCCGCUUUGUUGUUUUUAUUCUUGUACUGUAAUUUUAUAAAUACACUGUACAAAAUUAUGGCGUCAUACUUGUGUUUAUAAUGCCUCUACUCUAGUUUGACCCUACUGUGUGUGUAUAUGUACUGUGUCACUGUGAUAGAUAUGUACAUGUUUUGAGUUAAACGAAUUGUUUAAUAAAUUUUUGCUGAAGUAUGAUGCCUGUUUGUAUUGGAUAGAUUUUAAUUUACAUAUAUGUGCAUACAGUAUAGUUACAUUGCUUCUCAGAUGAGUCUGAAGGUAUAUUGUUAUUCAGUUAUUUGUAUGUAUUGUUUUAUAAAUUUUUGCUGAGUAUGAUGCCUGUUUGUAUCUAGUUGUAGAUGGUUGUGAGAAUAUAAUUUUAGAGGUUACAUGUUUGCUAAUUUUAGAGAUGAUAAUAAUGUAUCAAAUAAUAAUUUUCUUGUUAUGAUUUUGUAGAAAGAAAUUACUUGAGUGGUUGGCUGGUCUUGAGCCUGUUCAGGAUGGAUAUGAUAAUGAAAGGGAUGACAGGGCAGCAAGUGAUGACGUUUAAGUGAGAAGAUGAAAGUGAUGAGGAAGAAGUCACCCACGCUGUACCAUUCAAGUGCAUCAGUGCUGCUCGUGAGAAAAACUACCAACAUCAUUUGGAAAAUUAAAUUAAGGCAUAAUACCUCACUCUUCAUGAACAAGAUAAAAUAGUGAAUGUAAGAAUAUGGCCAGCACCAUUGAAUCCAAGGGACCCACGUGCAAUAGGCAAUUCCAGCUUUUAGUUUAUUUUAUUAAAAUUUUUCAGCAUAAUCAGCUAUAUGAUACCUUACUUCCUGCCACCCCUGCACACAUAAAUCAAAAGCUGGAAUUGCCUAUCGACUAGACUAUGUAACUGGAUGGACAACAUUUUGGUUAUAUUGCUUUUGAACUAUGCAAGUAUUUGCACCCAUUAAUUGCUGCAGAUGUCGUGGAGGUCUGGUGGAAACAUUUCUAGUGGGGUGCAAGCACCACCACUGAGUGAUCUUUUUACAGGGGUUAGGAAUUAGGGUUAAGGCUUUUGAAGCAAAAUUUUGGUGGGGUUAAACACUUGAUAAGAGGGGUUAGAGAGAUUCUAAGGGGGGGGGGGUUAACCCCUUCUAACGCCCCGAAACCUGGUAAGUGGAGACUCAAGUGGUAGGAAAAAGCAUGAGUGUAUGUUGACAGAUGUUUUUUUAUAUAAUAAAUAGCAACUAGCUAUGUUUAGCAAGUUAUUAGUGCAUUCAUUUCAAUUGACUAACUUUUUUGUUUUUUUUCCAGCAUUUUUAAACAAACCAUAUGUUAUAAAUGAUAACUGGGUAUAUCUAAUUAAAACAAUCUGUCAUAUACACUCAUGCAAAUAAGAAGACUAAGUACAUAAAUGACUGUAAAAAUGUACUUUAGUAAAUGAAUAAUUUAUCCAUACACUUGACCUACUUUGUGAGUAUUUUUUCCGAUUAAAAUUGAUGCAACAAUACAACAAGAAGAUGUCUAUUUAUAUAUUUAUUAAAUUAAUCCGAGAUCCCAAC
This 4511-nucleotide long non-coding RNA is filed under the name Paramuricea clavata. The record is from RNAcentral. Lineage: Eukaryota; Metazoa; Cnidaria; Anthozoa; Malacalcyonacea; Plexauridae.